This 447-nucleotide long non-coding RNA is filed under the name Homo sapiens (human). Its description in RNAcentral is "LNC_000081". Lineage: Eukaryota; Metazoa; Chordata; Mammalia; Primates; Hominidae. The record is from RNAcentral.
GCAGUCCUUGUCUUUUCAGAUCCUCGUAUGUCUUCUUAUUCACAACAUUCCCACUUGAGUCUUCAUAUUCUUCCUCAGUGUCAGGCUGCCAUCGUUCUGAAGCCUUCUGCAAUUUCAGUUUGGCCCACAAGGAGACAGCAUCUUCAAUCUGUGUCACAUUAGCAAAGUGAGCAGUGUUUGGGAUGCCCAAACACCUCAUGCCAUGAGCAUGACGCCAUUCAGCAAAGUGUCGCUGGAAGGCUUUGGGCCCUCGGUAGGUGUAGUUUCCACAAAUCUCACAGUUGUAGUUGAUAUUUAGGCCAUGAAGCUUAUACAGCCAGUAGGGAAUAGGUUUGCCAUCCCAGCCAAGUGGCAGGUUUUUGGGGUUGUAAAUGAUCUCGUUCUCUUCAUCUUCACUCUCACUCUCACUGAUCUGCUCUUCUUCCUCUUCUUCUCGCUCUUCUCCUG